ACGCUCGACACCUACGGGAGACAGCAGUCGGGAAUAUUGCGCAAUGGAGGAAACUCUGACGCAGUGACGCCGCGUAUGGGAAGAAGGUUUUCGGAUUGUAAACCAUUUUAGACAAGGAAGAAACAAGACAGUACUUGUAGAAUAAGCUCCGGCUAACUACGUGCCAGCAGCCGCGGUAAUCUGAGCGGGCUGGCAAGGC
Molecule: ribosomal RNA, 199 nt
Filed under: uncultured bacterium
Lineage: Bacteria
Description: partial 16S ribosomal RNA
Rfam family: Bacterial small subunit ribosomal RNA
Source: RNAcentral